UGUCCUCUAAAUAGGGACUUGUAUGAACGGCUAAAUGAGGGCCUACCUGUUUCCUAUGGCCCAUCAAUGAACCUAAUCUCUCAGUACAAAAGCUGAGAUAUACACAUAAGACGAGAAGACCCUGUGGAGCUUAAAGCAGUCUAAUACACCACAUAUUCUGACACUUUUAGUUGGGGCGACUAUGGAACAAAACAAAACUUCCACGCACCAGAACACCCUUCCCACGCAGGCACCCACGCCUCCGAGACCCUUCUUCCCCCUUGACCCAGUCUAACUGACCAUCGAACCAAGUUACCCCAGGGAUAACAGCGCCAUCCUCUUCAAGAGCUCCUAUCGCCAAGAGGGUUUACGACCUCGAUGUUGGAUCAGGGCCCCCCAGUGGUGCAGCCGCUACUAACGGUUCGUUUGUUCAACGAUUAAUGCCCUACGU
Molecule: ribosomal RNA, 430 nt
Filed under: Lepidoblepharis sp. AB-2015
Lineage: Eukaryota; Metazoa; Chordata; Lepidosauria; Squamata; Sphaerodactylidae
Description: partial 16S ribosomal RNA
Rfam family: Bacterial large subunit ribosomal RNA
Source: RNAcentral